UUCCGGUUGAUCCCGCCGGACCUGACUGCUAUCGGAUUGAUACUAAGCCAUGCGAGUCAUUGUAGUAAUACAAGGCAGACGGCUCAGUAACGCGUAGUCAACCUAACCUAUGGACGGGGAUAAUCUCGGGAAACUGAGCAUAAUACCCGAUAGAACAUUAUGCCUGGAAUGGUUUAUGUUCCAAAUGAUUUAUCGCCGUAGGAUGGGACUGCGGCCUAUCAGUUUGUUGGUGAGGUAAUGGCCCACCAAGACUAUUACAGGUACGGGCUCUGAGAGGAGUAGCCCGGAGAUGGGUACUGAGACACGGACCCAGGCCCUAUGGGGCGCAGCAGGCGAGAAAACUUUGCAAUGUGCGAAAGCACGACAAGGUUAAUCCGAGUGGUUUCUGCUAAAGGAACCUUUUGACAGUCCUAGAAACACUGUUGAAUAAGGGGUGGGCAAGUUCUGGUGUCAGCCGCCGCGGUAAAACCAGCACCUCAAGUGGUCAGGAUGAUUAUUGGGCCUAAAGCAUCCGUAGCCGGCUCUGUAAGUUUUCGGUUAAAUCUGUACGCUCAACGUACAGGCUGCCGGGAAUACUGCAGAGCUAGGGAGUGGGAGAGGUAGACGGUACUCGGUAGGAAGGGGUAAAAUCCUUUGAUCUAUUGAUGACCACCUGUGGCGAAGGCGGUCUACCAGAACACGUCCGACGGUGAGGGAUGAAAGCUGGGGGAGCAAACCGGAUUAGAUACCCGGGUAGUCCCAGCUGUAAACCAUGCAAACUCAGUGAUGCAUUGGCUUGUGGCCAAUGCAGUGCUGCAGGGAAGCCGUUAAGUUUGCCGCCUGGGAAGUACGUACGCAAGUAUGAAACUUAAAGGAAUUGGCGGGGCAGCACAAUC
This 875-nucleotide ribosomal RNA is filed under the name uncultured archaeon. RNAcentral's name for it is "bacterial SSU rRNA". It matches the Rfam family "Archaeal small subunit ribosomal RNA", at positions 1 to 883 of the family's 1478-position model. The record is from RNAcentral.